GGGGAUGUAGCCCAGUUGGUCAGAGCGCUUCGUUCACAUCGAAGAGGUCGUGGGUUCGAGCCCCUCCAUCCCCACCA
This 77-nucleotide transfer RNA is filed under the name Clostridiaceae bacterium. RNAcentral's name for it is "tRNA-Val". It matches the Rfam family "tRNA". Rfam says of the family: Transfer RNA (tRNA) molecules are approximately 80 nucleotides in length. Their secondary structure includes four short double-helical elements and three loops (D, anti-codon, and T loops). Further hydrogen bonds mediate the characteristic L-shaped molecular structure. tRNAs have two regions of fundamental functional importance: the anti-codon, which is responsible for specific mRNA codon recognition, and the 3' end, to which the tRNAs corresponding amino acid is attached (by aminoacyl-tRNA synthetases). tRNAs cope with the degeneracy of the genetic code in two manners: having more than one tRNA (with a specific anti-codon) for a particular amino acid; and 'wobble' base-pairing, i.e. permitting non-standard base-pairing at the 3rd anti-codon position. Lineage: Bacteria; Bacillati; Bacillota; Clostridia; Eubacteriales; Clostridiaceae. RNAcentral also lists the same sequence under 6 other names. The record is from RNAcentral.